GUUCUUUCUUAGUUUCAUUUGGAGUUGUUUCCUUAAUCAGGAGAUGGAAUUUGCUCAUUCUCUUAGGCAGAGUAAAGUUAACAUCAAGAUAUGUCAGUAUUCCUAUGAUCUUCUGUUGCAAUAUUUGCAUAAAACGCAAUCCACUGCAAUGCUUAGGGUCAUCAAUGAACACAUUAACUUUCAAG
Long non-coding RNA from Hibiscus syriacus, 185 nucleotides. RefSeq lists it as uncharacterized. The record is from RefSeq and is a predicted model, not a curated record. The transcript is spliced from 3 exons. Lineage: Eukaryota; Viridiplantae; Streptophyta; Magnoliopsida; Malvales; Malvaceae.